UACGACGGGGGCUAGCGUUGUUCGGAAUCACUGGGCGUAAAGCGCACGCAGGCGGAUCGGUAAGUCGAGGGUGAAAGCCCGGGGCUCAACCUCGGAAUUGCCUUCGAUACUGUCGGUCUCGAGUCCGGGAGAGGUGAGUGGAAUUCCUAGUGUAGAGGUGAAAUUCGUAGAUAUUAGGAAGAACACCAGUGGCGAAGGCGGCUCACUGGCCCGGUACUGACGCUCAGGUGCGAAAGCGUGGGGAGCAAACAGG
RNAcentral lists this ribosomal RNA (253 nucleotides) under uncultured bacterium. RNAcentral's name for it is "partial 16S ribosomal RNA". It matches the Rfam family "Bacterial small subunit ribosomal RNA", at positions 524 to 776 of the family's 1533-position model. The record is from RNAcentral.